This is a long non-coding RNA of Astatotilapia calliptera (eastern happy), 1663 nucleotides long. The record is from Ensembl. NCBI's taxonomy places the organism in Eukaryota, Metazoa, Chordata, Actinopteri, Cichliformes, Cichlidae.
AGUUUCUAUAGCACUGUUUAUGAUAGGCGACUGUAUCCUGACUGUCUUAUGGUGAUCCUGGGCUGCUCCGGCGACUCCUUGGCACUUCCCUUUGCUGUUCAACAGGCCCUCAUGUUUGGUAUGGUGAUUGCCAAACGUUUGAUUCUGGGGGAGUGGAAAUCUGCCUCCCCUCCCUGCUUCAAGAGGUGGCUCGAGGAGAUGGUCUCCUGUCUAUACCUGGAAGAAAUUCGGUUCUCUACGUCUGAUUCCAUGGAGAAGUUCAGGAAGAUAUGGGGGCCCUUUAUAGACCACAUUAAGAAGGACAGUCCACGCCCUGGGUCCUGACCACAUUGUUUUAACUGCUUUCAUUCUGAGCUGUUGCCCAUAACUGUUUUUGCAUGAUUGUUAUCUGCUCCUCCUAGCGAUCUUUGGAUUUGAUCUUGUGGAUUGGACUCACUAGAUUGUGAGUUGUUUGACAUGUAUACCAGUUGCUUUGUUUGCUUCUCUGCUGUUUUUAAUAAGUGCUGGCCUUGUACCCUGUUGUGUGGUUUGUUGCUCUGUUUUUUUUGUUUGUUUGUUUGUUUGUUUUUUUUGGUUGUUAUUGUCUUUAUUGUCUGUGUUCUUCUGUCCCGCUGUUUGUGAAUGUGUAAAAAAAUUUUGAAACUUGCAUAAAUAAAUACAUUAAAAAAAAAAAAAAGAAAUUCACAGCUGUAGGUUUUAGGUUAGUUGCAAUAUUCAAAACUAUGAAAAAUAUGCAUUUUAAAAAGAUUACCUCAAAAAAAAACUGUGUCUGUUGCCUUCAGGUACCUGAACAUCUGAAUGCUGGAGUUUUGGGUGAUCCAUGUUCAAAAACAAAAAAUUACAAAACAAAAACAAAUAAUUAAAUACACAGACAUGAACAAACAUUAAAUAUGAGGGUUUAACGAGGGAGCGGAAACAUCUGGGGAACAAGAAAAAGGUGAAACUAAUCAAAGAUAAUGAGACGAAGUAAAACUGGAAAAAAGACGACACACUGAGUCAAGACUUUAACACAAACACACACAGAGAGGAGAAAGGCUAGAAAAAUAACAAGACACUAUACAAAAUAACCAUAACUAAAAGACUAAUGUAGAUAAACAGGAAAAGCAAGAAACAACUAAAGGCUAAAGGAUAAAAACAAAAAAAGUAUCUGGUGAUAUGAUGAUGGUGACCCAUCAGUGGGGCAUGUGUGAUCUUCUGCUUCUGUGACUGAGGAAAAGUGCUCUUCUAGCUUUUUAAAUCCUGUUUCAGUCCCAGUGAGACACAAGUGGAGACCAUUUCAUCCUCCCCUUUGCCACUUCUGGCCUUUUUAAAGAACUCACAGCGCCGGGAUCAGCUGUCAAUUCCAACAUCUCAAUGACAUCCGCAGACCAGCGUCAAAACACCUAUAAACUCCGGAGACCUCGCACGCUUCCCAUCCCCUGCAUCUAUGACUCCUGGUAUGCUGGGACCAAUGUGUAAAUAAAAGGGGCCUCAAAUUGCCUCCAAGCAUUAAAAAUGGAUCCUGUUGGCAGCAAAUGGAGCAUCUCCCCCCUCAUCUGCCGCCAUCUUGUCUGGUCCUUAAGGGCUAGAGGCCCAGGCAGAUGCUCCUCCAGGAGGCAAGGGAGGUUGUUUUGUGCCUCAGGAGUGAGUGAAUGUCUGCGAAAAAGCUGGAGCUUUUUGUGAA